RNAcentral lists this ribosomal RNA (739 nucleotides) under uncultured bacterium. RNAcentral's name for it is "bacterial SSU rRNA". It matches the Rfam family "Bacterial small subunit ribosomal RNA", at positions 36 to 749 of the family's 1533-position model. The record is from RNAcentral.
CCAGUUGGGUGUUUUACCAUGCAGUCGAACGGGAUGAUUUAGAAGCUUGCUUUUAGAGAAUCUAGUGGCAAACGGGUGAGUAACACGUAGACAACCUGCCGACAGGAUGGGGACAACAUUCCGAAAGGAAUGCUAAUACCGAAUGAAGCGGAGGAGAGGCAUCUCUCCUCCGUGAAAGAUGGCCUCUGAAUAUGCUAUCACCUGUCGAUGGGUCUGCGUCUGAUUAGCUGGUUGGUGAGGUAACGGCUCACCAAGGCGACGAUCAGUAGCCGGUCUGAGAGGAUGAACGGCCACAUUGGGACUGAGACACGGCCCAGACUCCUACGGGAGGCAGCAGUGGGGAAUCUUCCGCAAUGGGCGCAAGCCUGACGGAGCAACGCCGCGUGAGUGAAGAAGGUCUUCGGAUCGUAAAGCUCUGUUGAUGGGGACGAACGUGCGAAGGGUGAAUAAUCCUUUGUAAUGACGGUACCUAUCGAGGAAGCCACGGCUAACUACGUGCCAGCAGCCGCGGUAAUACGUAGGUGGCGAGCGUUGUCCGGAAUCAUUGGGCGUAAAGGGAGCGCAGGCGGGCAUGUAAGUCUUUCUUAAAAGUGCGGGGCUCAACCCCGUGAUGGGAAAGAAACUACAUGUCUUGAGUACAGGAGAGGAAAGCGGAAUUCCCAGUGUAGCGGUGAAAUGCGUAGAUAUUGGGAGGAACACCAGUGGCGAAGGCGGCUUUCUGGACUGCAACUGACGCUGA